Non-coding RNA from Schistosoma mansoni, 46 nucleotides. The record is from Rfam. Lineage: Eukaryota; Metazoa; Platyhelminthes; Trematoda; Strigeidida; Schistosomatidae.
GCACUACUGAGGAGUCCCGCGAUAGGACGAAACGGCCGUCCAGUGC